GACGAACGCUGGCGGCGUGCUUAACACAUGCCAGUCGAACGGGUCUGCCCUGUUUUUUGCGGGGUGGGUCAGUGGCGAACGGGUGAGUAACACGUGAGUAACCUGCCCCUCACUUCUGGAUAACCGCUUGAAAGGGUGGCUAAUACGGGGUGUUCUGGCUGUGCCGCAUGGUGUGGCUGGGAAAGAUUCACUUUUGUGGUGUUUUGGUGGGGGAUGGGCUCGCGGCCUAUCAGCUUGUUGGUGGGGUGAUGGCCUGCCAAGGCUUUGACGGGUAGCCGGCCUGGGAGGGUGGGCGGUCACACUGGGACUGGGAUACGGCCCAGACUCCUGCGGGAGGCAGCAGUGGGGGGUAUUGCACAAUGGGCGGAAGCCUGAUGCAGCGACGUCGCGUGAGGGAUGGAGGCCUUCGGGUUGUGAACCUCUUUCGCCGGUGAAGAAGGUCCUGCUCUUUGUGGUGGGGUUGACGGUAGCCGGGUUAUGAAGCGCCGGCUAACUACGUG
This 500-nucleotide ribosomal RNA is filed under the name uncultured bacterium. Its description in RNAcentral is "partial 16S ribosomal RNA". It matches the Rfam family "Bacterial small subunit ribosomal RNA", at positions 28 to 507 of the family's 1533-position model. The record is from RNAcentral.